This 1518-nucleotide ribosomal RNA is filed under the name uncultured bacterium. Its description in RNAcentral is "bacterial SSU rRNA". It matches the Rfam family "Bacterial small subunit ribosomal RNA". The record is from RNAcentral.
GGUCGACGAUUGAGAGUUUGAUCCUGGCUCAGAUUGAACGCUGGCGGAAUGCUUUACACAUGCAAGUCGAACGGCAGCACGGGAGCUUGCUCCUGGUGGCGAGUGGCGAACGGGUGAGUAAUGCGUCGGAACGUACCGAGUAAUGGGGGAUAACGCACCGAAAGGUGUGCUAAUACCGCAUACGCCCUGAGGGGGAAAGCAGGGGAUCGCAAGACCUUGCGUUAUUCGAGCGGCCGACGUCUGAUUAGCUAGUUGGUGGGGUAAAGGCCUACCAAGGCGACGAUCAGUAGCGGGUCUGAGAGGAUGAUCCGCCACACUGGGACUGAGACACGGCCCAGACUCCUACGGGAGGCAGCAGUGGGGAAUUUUGGACAAUGGGGGCAACCCUGAUCCAGCCAUUCCGCGUGAGUGAAGAAGGCCUUCGGGUUGUAAAGCUCUUUCAGCUGGAACGAAACGGUGAGCUCUAACAUAGCUUGCUAAUGACGGUACCAGCAGAAGAAGCACCGGCUAACUACGUGCCAGCAGCCGCGGUAAUACGUAGGGUGCGAGCGUUAAUCGGAAUUACUGGGCGUAAAGCGUGCGCAGGCGGAUUGUUAAGCAAGAUGUGAAAUCCCCGGGCUUAACCUGGGAAUGGCAUUUUGAACUGGCAGUCUAGAGUGUGUCAGAGGGGGGUGGAAUUCCACGUGUAGCAGUGAAAUGCGUAGAGAUGUGGAGGAACACCGAUGGCGAAGGCAGCCCCCUGGGAUAACACUGACGCUCAUGUACGAAAGCGUGGGUAGCAAACAGGAUUAGAUACCCUGGUAGUCCACGCCCUAAACGAUGAUAACUAGCUGUCGGGGCGCUUGGCGUUUCGGUGGCGCAGCUAACGCAUUAAGUUAUCCGCCUGGGGAGUACGGCCGCAAGGUUAAAACUCAAAGGAAUUGACGGGGGCCUGCACAAGCGGCGGAGCAUGUGGUUUAAUUCGAAGCAACGCGCAGAACCUUACCAGCGUUUGACAUCCCGAUCGCGGUUGGUGGAGACACCUUCCUUCAGUUCGGCUGGAUCGGUGACAGGUGCUGCAUGGCUGUCGUCAGCUCGUGUCGUGAGAUGUUGGGUUAAGUCCCGCAACGAGCGCAACCCUCGCCUUCAGUUACCAUCAUUUAGUUGGGUACUCUGGAGGAACUGCCGGUGAUAAGCCGGAGGAAGGUGGGGAUGACGUCAAGUCCUCAUGGCCCUUACGCGCUGGGCUACACACGUGCUACAAUGGCAAGUACAGAGGGCUGCAAGCCGGCGACGGUGAGCUAAUCUCCAAAACUUGUCUCAGUUCGGAUUGUUCUCUGCAACUCGAGAGCAUGAAGGCGGAAUCGCUAGUAAUCGCGGAUCAGCAUGCCGCGGUGAAUACGUUCCCAGGCCUUGUACACACCGCCCGUCACACCAUGGGAGUUGGAUUGACCCGAAGGCAGUGGGCUAACCCGCAAGGGAGGCAGCUGACCACGGUCGGUUCAGCGACUGGGGUGAAGUCGUAACAAGGUAGCCGUA